UACGAAGGGGGCUAGCGUUGUUCGGAAUCACUGGGCGUAAAGGGCGCGUAGGCGGCCAUUCAAGUCAGAGGUGAAAGCCCAAGGCUCAACCUUGGAACUGCCUUUGAUACUGUUUGGCUUGAGACCGGUAGAGGUAAGUGGAACUGCGAGUGUAGAGGUGAAAUUCGUAGAUAUUCGCAAGAACACCAGUGGCGAAGGCGGCUUACUGGACCGGUUCUGACGCUGAGGCGCGAAAGCGUGGGGAGCAAACAGG
RNAcentral lists this ribosomal RNA (253 nucleotides) under uncultured bacterium. Its description in RNAcentral is "partial 16S ribosomal RNA". It matches the Rfam family "Bacterial small subunit ribosomal RNA", at positions 524 to 776 of the family's 1533-position model. The record is from RNAcentral.